This 431-nucleotide ribosomal RNA is filed under the name uncultured bacterium. RNAcentral's name for it is "partial 16S ribosomal RNA". It matches the Rfam family "Bacterial small subunit ribosomal RNA", at positions 29 to 508 of the family's 1533-position model. The record is from RNAcentral.
AACGAACGCUGGCGGCAGGCCUAACACAUGCAAGUCGAGCGCCCCGCAAGGGGAGCGGCGGACGGGUGAGUAACGCGUGGGAAUAUGCCCUUUGCUACGGAAUAGUCUCGGGAAACUGGGGGUAAUACCGUAUACGCCCUUUGGGGGAAAGAUUUAUCGGCGAAGGAUUAGCCCGCGUUGGAUUAGGUAGUUGGUGGGGUAAUGGCCUACCAAGCCGACGAUCCAUAGCUGGUUUGAGAGGAUGAUCAGCCACACUGGGACUGAGACACGGCCCAGACUCCGACGGGAGGCAGCAGGGGGGAUUUUUAGACAGGGGGGCAACCCAUGAUCUCGCCAUGCGGUGGGAGUGAGGAGGGCCUUGGGUUUGAAAGCCUCUUUCAGCGGGGAAGAAAAUGAGGUUCCCGAAAAAAAAAGCCCCGGCUACCCCCGGC